ACUUCUCUUAAAAUCCAAACAUUCUAAGAAAGCAUAAAUAGCAUUCGAAACUCCUUGAUGUUAUAAUCACAUUUCAACAAUCUACCAUAAAAAAUAAAUUAAUCAAUUCUAUCAGAAUCCAAAUAUCUUCUUAGCCAUAAAUAUCUUCACAAACAUUUUUCAUCUACAAAAAAGAAAAAAGAAAAAAAAAGCAAUUGAAAAAGUUAUCUCAACUGCAGAAUUUAGUUUAGAAACUAAAUCAAACAUAAGCACUGGUAAUUUCAAUAAUGUAUUCGUUCUUAAUUAAACAAGAUUGCUUACUACUUGGUAGACUGAUAUAUUAUAUAUAGCAGAGUUGGAUCUUUCCAUUUAACUGAAAUAAAGUCCAUACAACUUUAAAAUAUCUUCACUAAACAUCUUCACUAAGAGGAAAGUUUUAUGAAAAGUACAUGAAGAAGAGGAAUGCUAAACUUCAGGAAGAAUAGAGUUUGAACAGAUCAGAGAAGGAAGCUAGGAUGAAGGCUAUGCAGGAUAUUAUUGAGCGGAGUAGGGCUGAGAUGAAAUCCAAGUUUUCAAGGUACAUAACCAGACAAAAUUCAGCAGAAGGUUCUCAACGCGCAGACACCAGGUGUUCAUUCAUUACUUGCUUUGUAACCCAGUUUUUGUGAUAACUCCUACAUUUUAUUUUAUUCUCCUACAUAACCAAGUUUGUUUUGACAUUUAAAACUUCAAAUCCAUAUUUUCUUUGUCAGACACGUUUGAGAAGUGCAAGUUUAUAAACCCCUUGUUAGUUUUCACUCUAUAGACAGUAUAGACAUUAUAGCCUAACUCAAAUACUAACAACUAAAACAACAAAAUCGCAUAAUGAGGCUAUGGUGGUAACUUGUAAGGAAAUAUUGUACACAAUGAUUCAAGGAAUGAGUGUCAAUUAUAUUCAAGGAAAUAUUGUACACAAUGAUAUAACUUUGCAUAGCUAGUAACAUAAGACCAACUGGCAGAAAACAACACAAAUAGCAAUCAUUAACAUAGUUUAACGCCACCCCUAAACAUACUAGGGUAACAACCUUAAACCAGAAGACUAAAAUACUCCAAACCAAACACUAAUUCCAUUCAAACUGAUAUUGUAUCACAAAAAAAAAAGAACAAGUACCUGAUUAGAUUAUAUCUGAUUAAAAUGCCGCAACUUUCAAAACCUUAAAACCCACCAAGAUCAAAUCAAAUGAAAUCUACAAAAAAAAAAAAAAAAUCAUACAAAUCAAUAAACCCCAAAACCUAACAUUUAGUUCAAUAAACUCAAAUUCAAAAAUCAAACAACACAAUCAGCUAAACCCUAAAAUUAUUCCAACAACAAUAACAACAAAUCAAACAACGUAAUCAGCUUAACCCUAAUAUUAUUUCAACAACAAUAACAACAAAGAAGUUAAAAUUAAAGGGAAUAAGUUCAGAAAACUUACAAGCUUGAAGGUUUGAAGGGUUUGUCGUUUUGAAGGGUUUGGAGAGUGAAUAAUUGGAAUUGCGAUUAUAUUAGUUCGAUUGAAGAAGAACUUGCGCUGGAAUUGGAAUUGCUAUUGGACGGUGGUGGAGGAUUGGGAAUUGGAACGAAGAAGUGUGAAAAAGUGAGGAACGAAGAAGUAAAAAAGUGUGGAUAUGUUUUUACGAUAGAGAAAGGGAUAAGGUAAAGGUGAAAA
This 1667-nucleotide long non-coding RNA is filed under the name Medicago truncatula (barrel medic). RNAcentral's name for it is "long non-coding RNA (MTRU_LNC008237)". Lineage: Eukaryota; Viridiplantae; Streptophyta; Magnoliopsida; Fabales; Fabaceae. The record is from RNAcentral.